Molecule: ribosomal RNA, 253 nt
Filed under: uncultured bacterium
Lineage: Bacteria
Description: partial 16S ribosomal RNA
Rfam family: Bacterial small subunit ribosomal RNA
Source: RNAcentral
UACGGGGGGAGCAAGCGUUGUUCGGAUUUACUGGGCGUAAAGAGCGCGCAGGCGGUCGGAUUAGUCGCGUGUGAAAGCCCCCGGCUCAACUGGGGAGGGUCACGCGAUACUGUUCGACUCGAAGGCAGGAGAGGGAAGUGGAAUUCCCGGUGUAGUGGUGAAAUGCGUAGAUAUCGGGAGGAACACCAGUGGUGAAGGCGACUUCCUGGCCUGUUCUUGACGCUGAGGCGCGAAAGCUAGGGGAGCAAACGGG